CAAUAGCGUAUAUUUAAGUUGCUGCAGUUAAAAAGCUCGUAGUUGGAUUUCGGGUGGGAAUGGCCGGUCCGCCGUUUCGGUGUGCACUUGCUACGCCCACCUUGCUGCCGGGGACGUGCUCUUGAGUUCACGCUCGGGACACGGAGUCGGCGAGGUUACUUUGAGUAAAUUAGAGUGUUCAAAGCAGGCCUACGCUCUGAAUACAUUUGCAUGGAAUAACACGAUAGGACUCUGGCCUAUCUUGUUGGUCUGUAGGACCGGAGUAAUGAUUAAGAGGGACAGUCGGGGGCAUUCGUAUUUCAUUGUCAGAGGUGAAAUUCUUGGAUUUAUGAAAGACGAACUACUGCGAAAGCAUUUGCCAAGGAUGUUUUCAUUAA
This 377-nucleotide ribosomal RNA is filed under the name uncultured eukaryote. Its description in RNAcentral is "partial 18S ribosomal RNA". It matches the Rfam family "Eukaryotic small subunit ribosomal RNA", at positions 592 to 976 of the family's 1831-position model. The record is from RNAcentral.